Molecule: ribosomal RNA, 222 nt
Filed under: uncultured bacterium
Lineage: Bacteria
Description: partial 16S ribosomal RNA
Rfam family: Bacterial small subunit ribosomal RNA
Source: RNAcentral
GCAAGUCGAGCGCAGUCCUUCGGGACCGAGCGGCGGACGGGUUAGUAACGCGUGGGAACAUACCCUUCUCUACGGAAUAGCCUCGGGAAACUGAGAGUAAUACCGUAUAAGCCCUUCGGGGGAAAGAUUUAUCGGUGAAGGAUUGGCCCGCGUAAGAUUAGAUAGUUGGUGGGGUAAUGGCCUACCAAGUCUACGAUCUUUAGCCGACCUGAGAGGGUGAUC